RNAcentral lists this ribosomal RNA (498 nucleotides) under uncultured bacterium. RNAcentral's name for it is "partial 16S ribosomal RNA". It matches the Rfam family "Bacterial small subunit ribosomal RNA", at positions 30 to 523 of the family's 1533-position model. The record is from RNAcentral.
AUUGAACGCUGGCGGCAUGCCUUACACAUGCAAGUCGAACGGUAACAGGUCUUCGGAUGCUGACGAGUGGCGAACGGGUGAGUAAUACAUCGGAACGUGCCUAGUAGUGGGGGAUAACUACUCGAAAGAGUGGCUAAUACCGCAUGAGAUCUACGGAUGAAAGCAGGGGAUCGCAAGACCUUGUGCUACUAGAGCGGCCGAUGGCAGAUUAGGUAGUUGGUGGGAUAAAAGCUUACCAAGCCGACGAUCUGUAGCUGGUCUGAGAGGACGAUCAGCCACACUGGGACUGAGACACGGCCCAGACUCCUACGGGAGGCAGCAGUGGGGAAUUUUGGACAAUGGGCGAAAGCCUGAUCCAGCAAUGCCGCGUGCAGGAUGAAGGCCUUCGGGUUGUAAACUGCCUUUGUACGGAACGAAAAGCCCCGGGUUAAUACCCUGGGGUCAUGACGGUACCGUAAGAAUAAGCACCGGCUAACUACGUGCCAGCAGCCGCCGUAA